GAUGAACGCUGGCGGCGUGCCUAAUACAUGCAAGUCGAGCGAACAGACGAGGAGCUUGCUCCUCUGAUGUUAGCGGCGGACGGGUGAGUAACACGUGGAUAACCUACCUAUAAGACUGGGAUAACUUCGGGAAACCGGAGCUAAUACCGGAUAAUAUAUUGAACCGCAUGGUUCAAUAGUGAAAGACGGUUUUGCUGUCACUUAUAGAUGGAUCCGCGCCGCAUUAGCUAGUUGGUAAGGUAACGGCUUACCAAGGCAACGAUGCAUAGCCGACCUGAGAGGGUGAUCGGCCACACUGGAACUGAGACACGGUCCAGACUCCUACGGGAGGCAGCAGUAGGGAAUCUUCCGCAAUGGGCGAAAGCCUGACGGAGCAACGCCGCGUGAGUGAUGAAGGUCUUCGGAUCGUAAAACUCUGUUAUUAGGGAAGAACAUAUGUGUAAGUAACUGUGCACGUCUUGACGGUACCUAAUCAGAAAGCCACGGCUAACUACGUG
This 497-nucleotide ribosomal RNA is filed under the name uncultured bacterium. RNAcentral's name for it is "partial 16S ribosomal RNA". It matches the Rfam family "Bacterial small subunit ribosomal RNA", at positions 28 to 507 of the family's 1533-position model. The record is from RNAcentral.